RNAcentral lists this ribosomal RNA (31 nucleotides) under Microspongium radians. RNAcentral's name for it is "partial 5.8S ribosomal RNA". RNAcentral also lists the same sequence under 2 other names. Lineage: Eukaryota; Phaeophyceae; Ectocarpales; Chordariaceae. The record is from RNAcentral.
AACUUUCAGCGACGGAUGUCUUGGCUCCCAA